RNAcentral lists this ribosomal RNA (513 nucleotides) under Triticum aestivum (bread wheat). Its description in RNAcentral is "partial small subunit ribosomal RNA". The record is from RNAcentral. Lineage: Eukaryota; Viridiplantae; Streptophyta; Magnoliopsida; Poales; Poaceae.
AUGUGUAGCCGACAGUCAAGUCCAACCGUAGAACAGUGCUGCUGCUGUGCAUCACAUGGCUUGAAUUUAGCAUCGUCCACAAAUCGUCUGCGUGGCAUCGUGUGUAUAGCAGCGUUCUUGACACAAAGCCAACUCCCUCCCGUGCUAGUCGGCAACCGGCAACCAAACUACUCCCGCAGAUCGAUCCUUGGGCGAGAAGAAAGAAAGGAAGAAACACCAAUGGCGGCCGCUGGUUCCUCCGCCGCGUGGAAGCGCUGGCUCCGCCCUGAGGUGUAUCCGAUCUUCGCGGCGACCGGCGUGGCCGUCUCCAUCUGCGCCAUGCAGCUCAUCCGCAACAUCACCACCAACCCGGAAGUCAGGGUGACGAAGGAGAACCGGGCGGCGGGGAUCCAGGAGAACUUCGACGAGGGGAAGCGCUACUCGCAGCACGGCUUCAGGAAGUUCAUCGACCGCCAGCGCCCCGAGAUCAUGCCGGCGAUCAACAACUUCUUCUCCGACCCUCCCAAGUAUUAG